AUGCUCCGCCUCCGGGGCUGCAUCCUCCCCCGCCUCCUCUCAUCUCCCGCCACCUCCCUCCACCGCCUCCUCUCCGCGGCCGUUUCUCCGAGCCCUCCUAGCUUCGCCGUGGAGGAGUACCUCGUCGCCACCUGCGGCCUCACCCCAGCGCAGGCCCGCAAGGCCUCCCCCAAGCUCUCCCACCUCAAGUCCCUGGCCAACCCCGACGCCGUGCUCGCCUUCCUCGCCGGCCUCGGCCUCUCCGCCGCCGACCUCGCCACCGCCGUCCGCAAGGACCCCAGGUUGCUCUGCGCGGGCGUGGAGACAACCCUGGCCCCCAAUGUCGCGGAGCUCACCGGCCUGGGUCUCUCGCCUUCUGAGAUCGCGCGCCUCGUCUCGAUCACCGGCACCACUUUCCGCUGCAAAUCCAUCGUCUCCGGACUGCACUACUGCUUGCCCCUCUUCGGCUCCUCAGAGAACCUCCUUCGGGUCCUCAAGAGUGGCUCCGUUCUCGGGUCUGACCUCCAACGGGUGAUCAAGCCCAAUGUCGCCUUCCUGAGGGAGUGCGGGCUAGGUGCUUGCGAUAUUGCCAAGCUCUACGUAUUUCGGCCAUCGCCGCUCAGCAUCAGCACCGAACGCAUCCGGACAGCAGUGGCGCGUGUUGACGGUCUUGGUGUAUCCCGUGGAUCUCCCAUGUUCAAGCAUGCGCUACAAGCUGUUGCAUUCCUCACCGAGGAGAAAAUCACCGCCAAUGUAGAGCACUUGAAGAAAGCGUUCAGGUGGUCGGAUGCCGAGGUGGGCAUUGCUGUUUCUAAGGCUCCAUCGUUGCUGACGAAGAAUAAGGAAUCGCUGCAGCGCAGGUCCGAGUUCCUCAUCUCUGAGCUGGGGUUGGAACCCGCAUACAUUGCUUAUCGUCCGGCAAUGCUCACUUACAGCUUGGAGGGCCGGAUCAGACCCCGGUACUAUGUCGUAAAGUUUCUCAAGGAAAAUGGAUUGCUCAAGCGUGACCCGAGCUACUUUACUGUUUUCAAGGAGUCCGGGAAGGCAUUCAACAAGAUGUUCAUACACCCUCAUAAGGAAGCUGCACCACACCUUGAAAAAGACUACGAUGCUGCUUGCAAAGGGGAGGUGCCCACUAAUUUCAGAUUCACAUAA
Molecule: ribosomal RNA, 1134 nt
Filed under: Triticum aestivum (bread wheat)
Lineage: Eukaryota; Viridiplantae; Streptophyta; Magnoliopsida; Poales; Poaceae
Description: partial small subunit ribosomal RNA
Source: RNAcentral